Molecule: ribosomal RNA, 206 nt
Filed under: uncultured bacterium
Lineage: Bacteria
Description: partial 16S ribosomal RNA
Rfam family: Bacterial small subunit ribosomal RNA
Source: RNAcentral
UGCGUAGGCGGUCGUUUAAGUAGGGUGUGAAAUCCCCGGCUCAACCGGGGAACUGCGCUCUAAACUGGACGGCUUGAGUGAGAUAGGGGUGUGCGGAACUUCCGGUGGAGCGGUGAAAUGUGUUGAUAUCGGAAGGAACACCAGUAGCGAAAGCGGCACACUGGGUCUUAACUGACGCUGAGGCACGAAAGCUAGGGUAGCGAACG